Scophthalmus maximus (turbot) is the source of this 292-nucleotide long non-coding RNA. RefSeq lists it as uncharacterized. The transcript has 2 exons. The record is from RefSeq and is a predicted model, not a curated record. Lineage: Eukaryota; Metazoa; Chordata; Actinopteri; Pleuronectiformes; Scophthalmidae.
CGAAGCCACCCUGAGCCUGUUCGUUUCCGACACUGAAGAUGAGGACUUUGGUGGUUUUACAGCCUGGUGCUUUCUGUGGGAUUGAUGAAAACAGCAGACACAUUCUGAAGUGAUGUUCUCAGCUAUUCUGCUCAGUAUGUCACUCACUGUUGGGUUUUCCUUGUGUCUGUAGAAAACACAUGCCGACUCUUCGCUGCUUUGCCCAGUUACAGCUCGGCUCCUCUCAUUCCACACUGAUGCAUGUCCCAAUGUGUCCCAGUUUGCAGAGGUGAGAACGUACACUGACAGAAAC